RNAcentral lists this ribosomal RNA (468 nucleotides) under uncultured bacterium. RNAcentral's name for it is "partial 16S ribosomal RNA". It matches the Rfam family "Bacterial small subunit ribosomal RNA", at positions 28 to 507 of the family's 1533-position model. The record is from RNAcentral.
GACGAACGCUGGCGGCGUGCUUAACACAUGCAAGUCGAACGGAAAGGCCCUGCUUUUGUGGGGUGCUCGAGUGGCGAACGGGUGAGUAACACGUGAGUAACCUGCCCUUGACUUUGGGAUAACUUCAGGAAACUGGGGCUAAUACCGGAUAGGAGCUCCUGCUGCAUGGUGGGGGUUGGAAAGUUUCGGCGGUUGGGGCUGGACUCGCGGCUUAUCAGCUUGUUGGUGGGGUAGUGGCUUACCAAGGCUUUGACGGGUAGCCGGCCUGAGAGGGUGACCGGCCACAUUGGGACUAAGAUACGGCCCAGUCGCGUACGGGAGGCAGCAGUGGGGAAUAUUGCACAAUGGGCGGGAGCCUGAUGCAGCAACGCCGCGUGCGGGAUGACGGCCUUCGGGUUGUAAACCGCUUUCGCCUGUGACGAAGCGUGAGUGACGGUAAUGGGUAAAGAAGCACCGGCUAACUACGUG